This 1487-nucleotide long non-coding RNA is filed under the name Actinidia chinensis (golden kiwifruit). Its description in RNAcentral is "long non-coding RNA (ACHI_LNC002929)". The record is from RNAcentral. Lineage: Eukaryota; Viridiplantae; Streptophyta; Magnoliopsida; Ericales; Actinidiaceae.
GCAAAAUGAAAAAACUGAACCCACUCAAAUUUCGUAUGAAGACCAAGAAUAGAGCAAAGAAUAUAAGUACACAUUGGACUUACCCUAUUUGAUAGCUUAUUUAACCAAACAGGUUUCAACCUUUUUCCACAAAUUAUCAAGACUUGCUCCAACACAGCCCACUUGGAGUGAAUGAAGAUGGAGGAAGGGUACAAACAAAAUCCUGUUGAAAACAAACCAAAAAGAACAAAAUAAGAUCAUAAAUUAAAAAUCAAAGCACAUAUACGUAUUCAGAGAGAUAAUACCAGAAGGGGACCUUGACGGUGAUGCUUCCACCAGUCCCAGAGACCCAACCCAGAUUGUAGAACUGAUGGCAGAGCUCAACUAUUUUGUUCCUUUUUGUUUGGUUUCAACAGGAUUUUGUUUGUACCCUUUCUCCAUCUUCAUUUAUAUACUUUUGUUUAUACAUUCGAAUAUACAGAGAAGUGAAAGGGCAAACAUGAACUCAACUCCCUAUCCUAAAAAAAUAUAAAAAAUCCUUUAUGAACUCGUUCGUCAAAUUUAAAUUUGAAGAAAAAGGAGUAGGAAGUGAGCUCAAAGCCUUUCAUCAAACUUGUGCCAAAACUUAGGGAGAACUAAAUCCUUUGUCAAUUUAAGAUAAACCAACCAUAUAUCAAAUCGGAUUGGGUUCGAAGUUUUUGGGAUAAGUUGGGAUUCUUUAGAAAAUAUUUUUUGAAGAAAAAUAAAGUAAGGAUUCGAAUGCACCAGACAUAUCAAGAUUUCUAACCAAAACUUCGCUCCAUUUUGAUGAAUAAAAAAAAAGGUAAAGGAUUAAAGAUGACAAUAGGUAAAGAUAUUUCGAACUUUUUUUUUGCUUUUCUACACAUUUUUCACAUCAAUAUAUGACUCCUAUCAUCUAAUUAUAAUGUCAAGGAGAUUUGGCAUACCUUUGGGAGUAUGAUAUCAAGUAGAUUUGUUCCUGUUUUUGAUUCACACCUCUCUGAAUGAUGACUGCAAAUAAUCAAAACAAUAAAACAGUUAAAAACGAAGAUUCAUAUUAGAUAAACAGGCGUAAUCCAAAAAGGCACAGAGUUGAGCAAAUUUACCUCACAUGCCAGAUCGUCUCGCUAUCUCCAGCGUUCAAUACAGCGAGACAGCGAGGUGUGGGGCAAAAAAAGGAACUCCUCAUCGCGUUCGACGAUCUGAUGGCGCAAUACUUUUCUAGGGUUUCGGCCGCUGUGGAGAAGAUCGGGGGACAGGUUUUGGACGUGACGAAGGUUCUCACUAAGGUGUUCUCUGCUCAUAAUGAAGAGGUUGAGUGAAACCGGCUGGAAUGGAGAGGUGGAGUGAGAGAGAGGUGUAGUUUUGAGUGUGAUGGUUUAGAACAUCCAGCUGUGAUGGUCUCAGAACAUCCCAUCUCUUUGCUGCUCUUGAGCCGUGUGAGAGAGGUGUUGCUUUGAGUGUGAAACCGGCUAUAAUGUCCCAUCUCUAUGCUUCUCUUAAGCCGC